CUACGGGCCGCAGCAGUGAGGAAUAUUGCACAGUGGGGGGAACCCUGAUGCAGCAACGCCGCGUGGAGGAUGACGCAUUUCGGUGUGUAAACUCCUUUUAUAUGUCAAGAAAAUGACGGUAGCAUAUGAAUAAGCACCGGCUAACUCCGUGCCAGCAGCCGCGGUAAUACGGAGGGUGCAAGCGUUACUCGGAAUCACUGGGCGUAAAGGACGCGUAGGCGGGUUGGAAAGUCAGGUGUGAAAUCCUACAGCUUAACUGUAGAACUGCACUUGAAACUUCUAAUCUAGAGUAUGGGAGGGGGAGAUGGAAUUAGUGGUGUAGGGGUAAAAUCCGUAGAUAUCACUAGGAAUACCUAAAGCGAAGGCGAUCUCCUGGAACAUUACUGACGCUAAGGCGUGAAAGCGUGGGGAGCAAACAGGAUUAGAUACCCUUGUAGUC
This 439-nucleotide ribosomal RNA is filed under the name uncultured bacterium. Its description in RNAcentral is "partial 16S ribosomal RNA". It matches the Rfam family "Bacterial small subunit ribosomal RNA", at positions 339 to 795 of the family's 1533-position model. The record is from RNAcentral.